GAUGAACGCUGGCGGCGUGCCUAAUACAUGCAAGUCGAGCGAACAGACGAGGAGCUUGCUCCUCUGACGUUAGCGGCGGACGGGUGAGUAACACGUGGAUAACCUACCUAUAAGACUGGGAUAACUUCAGGAAACCGGAGCUAAUACCGGAUAAUAUAUUGAACCGCAUGGUUCAAUAGUGAAAGACGGUUUUGCUGUCACUUAUAGAUGGAUCCGCGCCGCACUAGCUAGUUGGUAAGGUAACGGCUUACCAAGGCAACGAUGCGUAGCCGACCUGAGAGGGUGAACGGCCACACUGGAACUGAGACACGGUCCAGACUCCUACGGGAGGCGGCAGUAGGGAAUCUUCCGCAAUGGGCUAAAGCCUGACGCAGCAACGGCGCGUGAGUGAUGAAGGUCUUCGGAUCGUAAAACGCUGUUAUUAGGGAAGAACAAAUGUGUAAGUAACUAUGCACGUCUUGACGGUACCUAAUCAGAAAGCCACGGCUAACUACGUG
RNAcentral lists this ribosomal RNA (497 nucleotides) under uncultured bacterium. Its description in RNAcentral is "partial 16S ribosomal RNA". It matches the Rfam family "Bacterial small subunit ribosomal RNA", at positions 28 to 507 of the family's 1533-position model. The record is from RNAcentral.